Molecule: ribosomal RNA, 492 nt
Filed under: uncultured bacterium
Lineage: Bacteria
Description: partial 16S ribosomal RNA
Rfam family: Bacterial small subunit ribosomal RNA
Source: RNAcentral
AGUGAACGCUGGCGGUAUGCCUAACACAUGCAAGUCGAACGGCAGCACAGUAAGAGCUUGCUCUUACGGGUGUCGAGUGGCGGACGGGUGAGGAAUACAUCGGAAUCUACUUUUUCGUGGGGGAUAACGUAGGGAAACUUACGCUAAUACCGCAUACGACCUACGUGUGAAAGCAGGGGAUCUUCGGACCUUGCGCGAUUGUAUGAGCCGAUGUCGGAUUAGCUAGUUGGCGGGGUAAAGGCCCACCAAGGCGACGAUCCGUAGCUGGUCUGAGAGGAUGAUCAGCCACACUGGAACUGAGACACGGUCCAGACUCCUACGGGAGGAAGCAGUGGGGAAUAUUGGACAAUGGGCGCAAGCCUGAUCCAGCCAUACCGCGUGGGUGAAGAAGGCCUUCGGGUUGGAAAGCCCUUUUGUUGGGAAAGAAAAGCAGCAGGUUAAUACCCCGCUGUUCUGACGGUACCCAAAGAAUAAGCACCGGCUAACUUCGUG